GAAACAUCUGCAGAAACGAAUUCAAACCCUGGAACUCUCCUAGCUGAGGAGGUGAAAUUACGGAGUUGCAAUUUCAUUAUCCAGAUUAAAUCCCUAAUGCUCGGUUGAUGGAUUGUCAAGCAGCUUAUAUGGGCAAACAGUGGUUGGAAAAUGGUCCAACACCAAACAAGUUCCUUUUGAUGCAGGUAAAUAUCUCCAAUACAAAUACCCCAAAUCCAAAUAUUAGUAUGAUAUCUAAUAUGGUGCAAAAAGGAGGUGAAUUUAAUAGUGAGAACUCCACUAGAAGUAAUUAAUUUCUAGUUAUAUAUCAGGAUUUCUAUAGAGACAAUUUCUGGUAACUUAGUCAAACACAUUUGCCAAUUAAAAAUGAAAGAUUUGGAGACGUAAGAUAUCUUUUUCUUCUUCCUAUCUUUCUCCCACACUAGAGAGAGAGAGAGAGAGAGAUAAUACCAAUAAUAAAGGGAGGAAAAGAAAAAGAUGGAGUUGGCUGAUGUGAAAGAAAUGAUUAAAUACCAAUUACCCACUUGAGGCACAAUACCCCGUCAGCAUAUCUUAUCUAUCUUUCAGAAAAUAUGCUUGUAUCCCAUCAUUUUUACUAAGUAACCUCUAUGUUGCACUCAUUUCAUAUUAUUUUGCAGAAAAAACAGAAAUAUAAUAGCUGUAAGAGGCUUUGGAAGAGUUAAAUUGGGCAGGAGAAUCCAAUACAUAGAGACAGUGUCCUAAACCAACGGUCAGGGUAUUCCACGGGGGGUGCUGGAUUUAACAUCUGACUUUGCCCCUUUUUAGAAUCAAAUACAAUUUUUUUUUUUACUAAAUGUGAAUAGAGGUUGGGCAGACUGGGAAAGUGCAGGGUGCACGAUGAUCUUCCCUUGCUGGGCCCUAGGUUACAAGCCCGCGUGGGGGUGUUGGGUACACCAACUCACCCCCCCCCCCCCCCCCCCUUCCCCCAAGUGCAUGGCUCCACAGCACUUUAACCACAUGUGUCGACCACACGUCGGUGCUUUUUGUUACAUAAAAAAUCAAAGUAGAGAUUAGAGAUUGGAUGUAUAAAAGAAUAAUAUACGUUUUAGUGAAAUUCUUAAAAUGCUGGUUCCUUUACUAAAUGAUGGUGAUUGGACAUGGAAAUUUAAGAGUAGAGAAAUUAGUAGAUCUUUCUGAUUAUUUGAUAGGGCCAGAGGGUUCAGGUGCUCUAGUCUAUGAUGGGGUUCUCAAAUUUGUGGUACUGUCAUUUGUUACCAUAUGCAAGCCAUUUGUGCACCCCACUCAAGUAACCUAUGCUAAAGUUUUUCUUUCAGGUAUUCAAAGCAUUUCAUUUCUUUACAACAAUCAUGUGUUGAUCCCAAUCAGUUUUUGUCUCAACUUGCAGCUGCCCUUAGGCUUAGCCUUAGUUUACUCUCUCUCUCUCCCCCUAAUUUUGCGGGUAAUGGAUGUUUUGAAGUAAUUGUAUAAGCUUUGUACAUUAUACAUAUCAUACUAUGGUGUCUAAUAAGUUUUGUAGUGUAUAUACGAGUGUGAGGAUUACAGCUAAUUAACUUAUAACUUUUGUACGUCUCAAAAAAAAAAAAACUUGUAACUUUUGUAGUGUAUAUAUGGUAGUUUGCUAGUUAGUGUAAUACAUUUAUAAAUAUUCUUUUGGUAAUUACUA
Molecule: long non-coding RNA, 1645 nt
Organism: Salvia miltiorrhiza (redroot sage)
Lineage: Eukaryota; Viridiplantae; Streptophyta; Magnoliopsida; Lamiales; Lamiaceae
Exons: 3
Source: RefSeq, a predicted model, not a curated record